This 484-nucleotide ribosomal RNA is filed under the name uncultured bacterium. Its description in RNAcentral is "partial 16S ribosomal RNA". It matches the Rfam family "Bacterial small subunit ribosomal RNA", at positions 30 to 507 of the family's 1533-position model. The record is from RNAcentral.
AUUGAACGCUGACGGCAGGCCUAACACAUGCAAGUCGAGCGGAUGAAGGGAGCUUGCUCCUGGAUUCAGCGGCGGACGGGUGAGUAAUGCCUAGGAAUCUGCCUGGUAGUGGGGGAUAACGUCCGGAAACGGGCGCUAAUACCGCAUACGUCCUGAGGGAGAAAGUGGGGGAUCUUCGGACCUCACGCUAUCAGAUGAGCCUAGGUCGGAUUAGCUAGUUGGUGGGGUAAAGGCCUACCAAGGCGACGAUCCGUAACUGGUCUGAGAGGAUGAUCAGUCACACUGGAACUGAGACACGGUCCAGACUCCUACGGGAGGCAGCAGUGGGGAAUAUUGGACAAUGGGCGAAAGCCUGGUCCAGCCAUGCCGCGUGUGUGAAGAAGGUCUUCGGAUUGUAAAGCACUUUAAGUUGGGAGGAAGGGCAGUAAGUUAAUACCUUGCUGUUUUGACGUUACCAACAGAAUAAGCACCGGCUAACUUCGUG